AUACAGAGGGUGCGAGCGUUAAUCGGAAUUACUGGGCGUAAAGCGCGCGUAGGCGGCUUGGUCAGUCGGAUGUGAAAGCCCCGGGCUCAACCUGGGAAUGGCAUUCGAUACUGCCAGGCUAGAGUAUGAGAGAGGGAAGUGGAAUUUCCGGUGUAGCGGUGAAAUGCGUAGAUAUCGGAAAGAACACCAGUGGCGAAGGCGACUUCCUGGCCCAAUACUGACGCUGAGGUGCGAAAGCGUGGGGAGCGAACAGAAUGAGAAACCCCAGUAGUCC
This 274-nucleotide ribosomal RNA is filed under the name uncultured bacterium. Its description in RNAcentral is "partial 16S ribosomal RNA". It matches the Rfam family "Bacterial small subunit ribosomal RNA", at positions 523 to 796 of the family's 1533-position model. The record is from RNAcentral.